RNAcentral lists this ribosomal RNA (478 nucleotides) under uncultured bacterium. RNAcentral's name for it is "bacterial SSU rRNA". It matches the Rfam family "Bacterial small subunit ribosomal RNA", at positions 38 to 507 of the family's 1533-position model. The record is from RNAcentral.
GGCGGCAGGCCUAACACAUGCAAGUCGAGCGGUAACAUUUCUAGCUUGCUAGAAGAUGACGAGCGGCGGACGGGUGAGUAACGCGUAGAAAUCUACCUAGUAGUGGGGGAUAGCCCAGAGAAAUUUGGAUUAAUACCGCAUACGCCCUACGGGGGAAAGCAGGGGAUCUUCGGACCUCGUGCUAUUAGAUGAGUCUGCGUCGGAUUAGCUUGUUGGUGAGGUAAUGGCUCACCAAGGCGACGAUCCGUAGCUGGUCUGAGAGGAUGACCAGCCACACUGGAACUGAGACACGGUCCAGACUCCUACGGGAGGCAGCAGUGGGGAAUAUUGCACAAUGGGCGCAAGCCUGAUGCAGCCAUGCCGCGUGUGUGAAGAAGGCCUUAGGGUUGUAAAGCACUUUCAGCAGUGAGGAAAGGGGUGUCGUUAAUAGCGCCAUCCUGUGACGUUAACUGCAGAAGAAGGACCGGCUAACUCCGUG